RNAcentral lists this transfer RNA (612 nucleotides) under uncultured Prochlorococcus sp. RNAcentral's name for it is "partial contains 16S ribosomal RNA, 16S-23S ribosomal RNA intergenic spacer, and 23S ribosomal RNA". The stretch from base 227 to 299 matches the Rfam family "tRNA". Lineage: Bacteria; Bacillati; Cyanobacteriota; Cyanophyceae; Synechococcales; Prochlorococcaceae. The record is from RNAcentral.
UGGAUCACCUCCUAACAGGGAGACAACAAAAUGUUUAAUAUUAUUAUUUUGUCACCUUAGGUCGAUCGGUAUCUCACAUUCUUAAUUUAUUAAGGAUUUCAUUUCCUAAGUUUUUCUAGGUCACACCCAUUAUUUUUCCUGGGCCAUUAGCUCAGGUGGUUAGAGCGCACCCCUGAUAAGGGUGAGGUCCCUGGUUCAAGUCCAGGAUGGCCCAUAUCUCUAUGUUGGGGGUAUAGCUCAGUUGGUAGAGCGCCUGCUUUGCAAGCAGGAUGUCAGCGGUUCGAGUCCGCUUACCUCCACUGAUUACCACCUCUUCCAUAAUCUGUAGAAAGGAAAUUUUUUGAGUUGUGAUCAAAUUCUGAACGAAUCUAGCUUCCUAAUGUGAUUAUUAAGAUGCUGGACUCAUUGAAUUAAUUUCAUUGUUUUCAGAGAACCUUGACAACUGCAUAGAUUAUUUUUAAAGACAAUAAGCAUCUUUGAUGAUGCAGAUUUAUUAUUUUUGCGAAUGCAUUAAUAACAAUUCUAUUAAGCUGAUGCUUCAAAUUUUUGAAGUUAUUGGUCAAGCUACAAAGGGCUCACGGAGGAUACCUAGGCACACAGAGGCGAUGAAGG